AAUCAACGCUGGCGGCGUGCCUCAGACAUGCAAGUCGAACGAUUAAAGCUCUCUUCGGAGAGUGCAUAGAGUGGCGCACGGGUGAGUAACACGUAAGUAAUCUACCUUUGAGUGGGGAAGUAACACCGAGAAAUCGGUGCUAAUACCGCAUAAUGCAGCGGCAUCGCAAGAUGACAGUUGUUAAAGAUUAUCGCUUGAAGAGGAGCUUGCGGCAGAUUAGCUAGUUGGUAAGGUAAUGGCUUACCAAGGCUACGAUCUGUAACCGGUCUAAGAGAACGGUCGGUCACACUGACACUGAAUAACGGGUCAGACUCCUACGGAGGCAGCAGUCGGGAAUUUUGGGUCGAAUGGGCGAAAGCCUGACCCACGCAACGCCGCGUGAAGGAUGAAGUAUUU
RNAcentral lists this ribosomal RNA (396 nucleotides) under uncultured bacterium. RNAcentral's name for it is "bacterial SSU rRNA". It matches the Rfam family "Bacterial small subunit ribosomal RNA", at positions 32 to 418 of the family's 1533-position model. The record is from RNAcentral.